ACAAAUUCUUAGGAAGACUUUGUUAAGAAACGUAAGAUGAUAAAUUGUUGGGACAAAGACAAGAAUAUAAAAUAAAUAUUAUUUAUUCAAAUCUAGAGAGAAACACAGUAACACACCAUGACAAACCUUCUUAAGAACUAUAGCCCCUUAUCACUUCAAUACACAACUCAUGGAAUAGAGUUUCACAUGUCCACCACCACUCAGCAUGUAUAUAUAUGCUGAUGUGGAGCCAAGUGCCAUAUAAAUAACCAUAUCCAAAAGCCAUACCAUAAUAACAAUAAUAAACUUUAAUAUAGGAAAGGAAACUAAAGAAAUAAUUAAUAGAAAAGCUUUUCAACCUUGAUGACAUGCAAAAUGGUAGACCCGAUCCCAACAUCUAGAACCAUUAAUUUAAACUUCCGUUUUUUACCAGUUCCAGUCACACCCAUUCCAUUGGUUUAAGCUUCAGGAUUCUCAACUGGAACUUCCUCUGCUGCUGGAGCUUCCACUGAUUCAACUGUUUUGUUCUCAAUCACAUCCUCUGCAGUUGCUGCUGGUGGUGGUGCUGACUCAUUUUCAGUAGUUGCUAUUGGCUCCUCCACUACUGCUUCCGCCUCUUCCUUCACUUCUUCAACCGAUUCCUCAGUUUCUUUAGGUGCUUCUAAGUUCUCUUCCUUUGCUUCCUCUGUUACCACUUCCUUGUUCUCAACUUCAAGUGGAUCUUGGGUUUCGGGAGCAUCUACAGCUUCUCCUGCUGCAGUUGUUUCUGUUGGUUUUUCGGUUGUUUCUUCUGUUGGUACUUCGGCGGCAGGAACUUCGGAUUCUGGUUGUGCCGCAGCAGGAACUUCAGUGGCUGGUUGCUGUUCUUGAAUUGUUUCCUCUGUCUUGAUUAUCUCGGGUGUUGUUUCAUUUUCUUGCACUGUUGUUGGUGGUGCUUGGUGUGCAACCUGCAAAUAAUUACCAUCUUCAUUUAGCAAAAUCUUGUAGUCUAGUAUACACAAAUCAAACAUCCAAUAAAUAAAAAACUAUAUAUUAUCUAAUGUGUUACAAAAAUAGUGUUAAUUAGUAUGACAUUACAAAGUAGACUAGACUAAUUACAGAAAAAACUUAAGAUUUUGUACAAAUAGAAGACUUGAGUAUUAAACUGUUAAAGAUCUUUGCUUUGGGUACAAGAAUAAAAAGGUCUACAUAAGAUGCUUAGCAGUAUAUUAUAUUAUUUAGUAUUAU
Molecule: long non-coding RNA, 1206 nt
Filed under: Lathyrus oleraceus (garden pea)
Lineage: Eukaryota; Viridiplantae; Streptophyta; Magnoliopsida; Fabales; Fabaceae
Description: Pisum sativum (pea) long non-coding RNA (PSAT_LNC003495)
Source: RNAcentral